Schizosaccharomyces pombe (fission yeast) is the source of this 385-nucleotide non-coding RNA. NCBI's taxonomy places the organism in Eukaryota, Fungi, Ascomycota, Schizosaccharomycetes, Schizosaccharomycetales, Schizosaccharomycetaceae. The record is from the annotation of a GenBank genome assembly.
CAUACACAUGCCAUUACAGCACGAUUAAGAAUGGGCCACAAAGAACCCCAAAUUCCAAAUGAACUACGAGAAAGGACGGGAAAUGAAAUGUGAUAAACAGCACCGGCACGACCAGCAAUUGUAAGAAUGAAAGCAGCAAUAGUAUAACCUACCCAGACUGUGAUCCAUGCCUCCCACCAACUAAGACCGCUUUCAACAGCGGUACCGGCAAUCAUCCAAGUGUUAACGUUAACAGAGUCAGCAAGCCAGAAAGCGACAUAAUUCCAUGGUCCCCAUACUCGCUGACUCUUUGGUACUGGGUACAAAUCCUCAUUCGUAAGAAAACGUUCAGCCAGUGUAGUGCCCGGCUUAGCUUCAAUAACAAUAAAAUUUUUAAAAUUUCUCC